ACCACUGUAGUCUCACUAGUUUUUUCAUCAUAGGUUCUUAAUUGAUUUACUAUUUUCUUUAGUUUGGAAUAGUAAUCUUUUACGAUCUCAGUAUCUUUCAUUUUUUAAUUUUCUAGAUCUCUCCCCAUAGUUUGUAGUUUGAUGGAACGUACCUUUAAAGUUAUAUAAAACUCCUCCUUUAGUAAAUCUUAAGCUUCCUUUAUGUAGUAGCUUCCAUGAUUUUUGAAAAGUUUGCAUCAUCCACCGCUUGUUGAAUGGCCAAAACUGCAUUUGCAUAUCUUUGUUUAUCUUUUUUUCUUGUCGUAGUUGCUCCAUUCAAAAAUGCUGACUUAAUUCUGGAUGAUGAAAUCAGACAUUGGGUAAGAGAACUUGCAACUUUUCAAGGCGCGAGUCCUCGAAACACAAUCAAUGGCAAAACCUAGUUAAUUUGCUAGUAUGUGUAUCUAGACUGCACAUCUCUCUAUAGAAGGCUCGAAGUUGUCACUUGUGCUAGCAUUAGGUCCCAAAUGUGCUCAAAUGUGCCGAUGUCACCCCCUUUCAUCUCUUGCCGAAACCUUUUCCUUUGAUGCCUUGGUCUCUAAGUUCAAACGGCACGAAGAUUGAUUCUCGAAUUUUAUGGUCUAUUCCAAUGCAAAACAAUUGUCGAUGUCAUUGAGGACGAUGGUGUCAAUGGAAAGAAAUCAUGUGAAAGAGGGAAAACAAAAUGUAUGAUUCUAUUGGGUUUUAUAUUUUAAAAUUGUAUAUUGAAAUAAGCGGGUGUUUUGUAUAGUAACUGUCUCAAAGUCACAUUCCACAUAUUGCACGCAACUAGACUAAAAAGUCAUUUUCGUUACUCAGAAAAGAAAAUCGAGAAGUAUCAAUACACGAUUUCGUUAUUCAAAAUGUAUGAUUCAGCUGGGUUUAAUAUUUUAAAGUGUAUACUCAAAUAUGUGACUGUUUUAUGUCACGCCAAUCUCAAAGUCACAUUCCACGUAUUGCAGAUAGACUAAAAACUCAUUUUCAUUACUCAAAAAAGGAAAUCGGGAAAUCGACACAUGUCUAUUUUUACAUAUAGUAAUUGACAUAAUUUAACCUAUGAAAAAAAAGAGUAUAUUUUUACUGCAGCGCGUGGAGUAAAUCCCUGUUUUCUUAUACUAGAGAAAGAUCACCGAGAAAGCCCAAAAGGGGGAUCAAAAAACUCGUCAUAGAGGCUGUUGGAAUUUGCUCGUGUUCGCUUUUUCGGUGCGAAUUUCAAUUUCCGGUACCCAUUUUUGGGAUUCAAUUGAAUUGGGAUUAUUAGUCCUAUAGAUGUCUGAAUCACAAGGAGACGAACACGAUUCCACAAGCUUCAGGGCUUCAUCCGUCUCAGAUGUAGAGAUUAGCUGCGGUGUAUAUAUCACCUAACCUCCACCACUUCCCUCCACUAUCGUUGUGUAUUCCUUCACCAGCAUUGCAGAGCAACUUCUUUAAACACUAAUCUGUUCAUCGUCUGUUGAAAGUUCAUCAGAG
Molecule: RNA transcript, 1488 nt
Organism: Rosa rugosa (rugosa rose)
Lineage: Eukaryota; Viridiplantae; Streptophyta; Magnoliopsida; Rosales; Rosaceae
Exons: 3
Source: RefSeq, a predicted model, not a curated record